This 1353-nucleotide long non-coding RNA is filed under the name Oncorhynchus mykiss (rainbow trout). RNAcentral's name for it is "lncRNA (ENSOMYG00000049589.1)". Lineage: Eukaryota; Metazoa; Chordata; Actinopteri; Salmoniformes; Salmonidae. The record is from RNAcentral.
AUGCUCACUGUCCAAGUUUUCAUUGGGGGUAGAUCAACUGCACUAUUAUUACCCCAAAUUGUCACGCCCUGCUUCACCUGUUUCCUUGUGAUUGUCUCCACCCUCUCCAGGUGUCGCUUAUUUUCCCCAGUGUAUUUAUCCCUGUGUUUCCUGUCUCUCUGUACCAGUGUAUUUAUCCCUGUGGUUCCUGUCUCUCUGUACCAGUGUAUUUAUCCCUGUGUUUCCUGUCUCUCUGUACCAGUGUAUUUAUCCCUGUGUUUCCUGUCUCUCUGUACCAGUGUAUUUAUCCCUGUGUUUCCUGUCUCUCUGUACCAGUGUAUUUAUCCCUGUGUUUCCUGUCUCUCUGUACCAGUGUAUUUAUCCCUGUGUUUCCUGUCUCUCUGUACCAGUGUAUUUAUCCCUGUGUUUCCUGUCUCUCUGUACCAGUGUAUUUAUCCCUGUGUUUCCUGUCUCUCUGUACCAGUGUAUUUAUCCCUGUGUUUCCUGUCUCUCUGUGCCAGUGUAUUUAUCCCUGUGUUUCCUGUCUCUCUGUACCAGUGUAUUUAUCCCUGUGUUUCCUGUCUCUCUGUACCAGUGUAUUUAUCCCUGUGUUUCCUGUCUCUCUGUGCCAGUGUAUUUUUCCCUGUGUUUCCUGUCUCUCUGUGCCAGUGUAUUUAUCCCUGUGUUUCCUGUCUCUCUGUACCAGUGUAUUUAUCCCUGUGUUUCCUGUCUCUCUGUACCAGUGUAUUUAUCCCUGUGUUUCCUGUCUCUCUGUACCAGUGUAUUUAUCCCUGUGUUUCCUGUCUCUCUGUACCAGUGUAUUUAUCCCUGUGUUUCCUGUCUCUCUGUACCAGUGCAUUUAUCCCUGUGUUUCCUGUCUCUCUGUGCCAGUGCAUUUAUCCCUGUGUUUCCUGUCUCUCUGUACCAGUGUAUUUAUCCCUGUGUUUCCUGUCUCUCUGUACCAGUGUAUUUAUCCCUGUGUUUCCUGUCUCUCUGUACCAGUGUAUUUAUCCCUGUGUUUCCUGUCUCUCUGUACCAGUGUAUUUAUCCCUGUGUUUCCUGUCUCUCUGUACCAGUGUAUUUAUCCCUGUGUUUCCUGUCUCUCUGUACCAGUGUAUUUAUCCCUGUGUUUCCUGUCUCUCUGUACCAGUGUAUUUAUCCCUGUGUUUCCUGUCUCUCUGUACCAGUGUAUUUAUCCCUGUGUUUCCUGUCUCUCUGUACCAGUGUAUUUAUCCCUGUGGUUCCUGUCUCUCUGUGCCAGUGUAUUUUUCCCUGUGUUUCCUGUCUCUCUGUACCAGUUCGUUUUGUAUGUUUAAGUCAAGUCAACCAGUCUGUUUUUCCCCCGUACUCCUGUUGCAAUUCUCCUUUUUCUAG